GUGUUUCCCAAGAACUCAAAAUCAAUCUCAUCAUGGGUUGGUCCUUGGGAUGACAGCUUAAGCAGUGACAGUGCCAGCAGAGUUGCCAGCAACAAGCUUAAGCUGCAUAUCAAUUCUCCCAAAUAGGUACUCUCUCUUUGAUUUGAAGCCAGAGCCAGAGACUUUGUCAAGGGAAAGUGAUAGAAGUUGACCACCAUUGAAUAUCUUAGCACGGUUAUCACCCCAUGUUAGAUCAAAGUCUUGGUAGAAACUACCAGCACAAGUAGCCACCAUAGAGCUAACCAUUAUAGCAAUUAGCAUAAACACAUGAAACUCAUUGUGAGUAGAAUUAGAAGCCAUUUUGGACAGAGAGAGAGAGAG
Molecule: long non-coding RNA, 360 nt
Filed under: Medicago truncatula (barrel medic)
Lineage: Eukaryota; Viridiplantae; Streptophyta; Magnoliopsida; Fabales; Fabaceae
Description: lncRNA gene48978
Source: RNAcentral